This is a long non-coding RNA of Xenia sp. Carnegie-2017, 891 nucleotides long. RefSeq lists it as uncharacterized. Lineage: Eukaryota; Metazoa; Cnidaria; Anthozoa; Malacalcyonacea; Xeniidae. The transcript has 6 exons. The record is from RefSeq and is a predicted model, not a curated record.
GACAAAAUGACCGAAGAAGUACAUUGAUCUAAUGUAUAGACAAAGUCACGAAAUACAAAACGUCAUUCAUAGUGCAGAUAUCGAUGAUGCAUUGACCGUCUAACGCUAAAUCUCGGGUCUUUAAUGUGCACUCAUAAAACGAUUACACGAUAUAAUUACAAAUGACGAAGCUCCUACCUCCAAAAGAUAAUGCCAUACUCCAGUCGCAGCAACAUGAAAGAAAGCCCAGAACGAAUGCCGUGCCUAAGAUAGAGAAGAUAUAUGUAAUGAUAAUACUCCAAUGAUCUGGAUUUAGUUAAAAGUCGAUUGAAAAAAAUACAAUGGCAGAUAUCUCAACAAACCUAUGCAAGUGUAAACUGAGAGAAGAGAUCCUCCCAAAACAUAUAGUCCUAAAUAUGUAAUGGCCUUGAAGAUUUUCAUUGCAACUGUUAUCUACAAGUACAAAAAUAAGAAGAGUUUUACUUGCAAUACUUGGCAAGCUGUGUACAGUUCCAAGUUUACAUACCACAGUUGAGGAAACUUGGUUUACCCUGUAACAUUUUGUCUAUAGCCACCAUAAUCAGUAAUUUGGUGAUAAAUGUGAUUCACAGAAAGCCAAGUCAUAGUGAGAAUAAAUGUGUACCUUCAGGUAUUCUAAUCAAUAAUUAACUGUAAGAAACAUGCAUUUGCAAGAACAGCAAAAGGUGAUAUUUAUUAGGCAGCAACCUUACUUAAUAGAGCUAAUAGUUGUAAAAAUUACACUAACAAGGCCAUCGGCAAACUGCUGAUGUUCAUUUAUAAACAUUUAUAGAUUAGGACUUUGACAUAAUAAUUAUGUCAGUAUUAUGUCACAUAUCACUUGAAAGCGUCUAGUUAUUGUGUUUUGUCGAACAUUAGAACGUAGUUUGGAUA